UACGUAGGGUGCGAGCGUUGUCCGGAUUUAUUGGGCGUAAAGAGCUCGUAGGCGGUUUGUCGCGUCGGCCGUGAAAUCUCCACGCUUAACGUGGAGCGUGCGGUCGAUACGGGCAGACUUGAGUUCGGUAGGGGAGACUGGAAUUCCUGGUGUAGCGGUGAAAUGCGCAGAUAUCAGGAGGAACACCGGUGGCGAAGGCGGGUCUCUGGGCCGAUACUGACGCUGAGAAGCGAAAGCAUGGGGAGCGAACAGG
Molecule: ribosomal RNA, 253 nt
Filed under: uncultured bacterium
Lineage: Bacteria
Description: partial 16S ribosomal RNA
Rfam family: Bacterial small subunit ribosomal RNA
Source: RNAcentral